UACGGGAGGCAGCAGUGGGGAAUAUUGGACAAUGGGGGCAACCCUGAUCCAGCCAUGCCGCGUGUGUGAAGAAGGCUUUCGGGUUGUAAAGCACUUUCAGUGAGGAGGAAAACCUUAUGACUAAUACCCAUGAGGCUUGACGUUACUCACAGAAGAAGCACCGGCUAACUCCGUGCCAGCAGCCGCGGUAAU
Molecule: ribosomal RNA, 192 nt
Filed under: Marinobacter sp. L3-C07
Lineage: Bacteria; Pseudomonadati; Pseudomonadota; Gammaproteobacteria; Pseudomonadales; Marinobacteraceae
Description: partial 16S ribosomal RNA
Rfam family: Bacterial small subunit ribosomal RNA
Source: RNAcentral